AUGAGACCCGCAGCAACAGCGGUAGCAGCCUCCGCCGCCGCGCUCCGAGCCGCGUUCCUCGCCCCUCCCGCUGCCGCCUUCCGCCUCCUCCCUCCCCGCCGUGUCUUCUUCCUCCCCCUCCACCGCCUCUCCUCCUCCUCGUCCCCGGUCGCCCCUCCUUGCGCCGCUUCCUUCGACUCCCAGCCGCUGCCGUUGCCUGCCUUCAUGGACGCGCAGUUCGAGUCCUUCCGGGCGCAGCUCGAUGGCUCCUCCACCCUCCGCGACCGCAUCCGCGCCGUCGUCUCCGAGGUCGAGUCAGCCUCCCGGGCCGCCUCCGCUGCGCUCCUCCUCAUCCACCAGCCCGUCCCCCUAUCUGAUGUGCUCGGCAAGGCGAAGGCGCAGGUGGAGGUGAUCAAGGGGCUGUACUCUCAGCUCGCGGAGAUCCUCAAAGAGUGCCCCGAUCAGUACUACAGGUAG
RNAcentral lists this ribosomal RNA (456 nucleotides) under Triticum aestivum (bread wheat). RNAcentral describes it as "partial small subunit ribosomal RNA". The record is from RNAcentral. Lineage: Eukaryota; Viridiplantae; Streptophyta; Magnoliopsida; Poales; Poaceae.